RNAcentral lists this unclassified non-coding RNA (268 nucleotides) under Hevea brasiliensis (rubber tree). The record is from RNAcentral. Lineage: Eukaryota; Viridiplantae; Streptophyta; Magnoliopsida; Malpighiales; Euphorbiaceae.
CGGUCUUAUUUUCUCGUUAUCGUUUUCCUCCUUCGAGGUGGGUGGGUGGGUGGCGGUGUGGUAGGCUGGAGAGGGGAAUUGCUGCAUUUCUAAUGGCAGGUGAUGGUUCUAUCGUAGUGUUGGUUAUUAUGGUGUGGUGGUAAUAGCCGAAUUCCAAGAAUGUGGUUGAUUCAACUAAAGUAUAAACACUAGUGCAGAAUCUGGGAUAUUUACUAGUACUUGGUGAUAGGGACAGCACAGGGCAAUAAUUUCAAAGUAAGCUUAGUUG